This 667-nucleotide ribosomal RNA is filed under the name uncultured bacterium. Its description in RNAcentral is "bacterial SSU rRNA". It matches the Rfam family "Bacterial small subunit ribosomal RNA", at positions 140 to 805 of the family's 1533-position model. The record is from RNAcentral.
GGGAUAACCUUGCGAAAGUAAGACUAAUACCCAAUGAUAUCUCUAGAAGACAUCUGAAAGGGAUUAAAGAUUUAUCGGUGAUGGAUGGGGAUGCGUCUGAUUAGCUUGUUGGCGGGGUAACGGCCCACCAAGGCGACGAUCAGUAGGGGUUCUGAGAGGAAGGUCCCCCACAUUGGAACUGAGACACGGUCCAAACUCCUACGGGAGGCAGCAGUGAGGAAUAUUGGUCAAUGGACGAGAGUCUGAACCAGCCAAGUAGCGUGCAGGAUGACGGCCCUAUGGGUUGUAAACUGCUUUUAUAAGGGAAUAAAGUGAGUCUCGUGAGACUUUUUGCAUGUACCUUAUGAAUAAGGACCGGCUAAUUCCGUGCCAGCAGCCGCGGUAAUACGGAAGGUCCGGGCGUUAUCCGGAUUUAUUGGGUUUAAAGGGAGCGUAGGCCGGAGAUUAAGCGUGUUGUGAAAUGUAGAUGCUCAACGUCUGCACUGCAGCGCGAACUGGUUUCCUUGAGUACGCACAAAGUGGGCGGAAUUCGUGGUGUAGCGGUGAAAUGCUUAGAUAUCACGAAGAACUCCGAUUGCGAAGGCAGCUCACUGGAGCGCAACUGACGCUGAAGCUCGAAAGUGCGGGUAUCGAACAGGAUUAGAUACCCUGGUAGUCCGCACGGUAA